This 9605-nucleotide long non-coding RNA is filed under the name Gallus gallus (chicken). RNAcentral's name for it is "lncRNA (ENSGALG00010022043.1)". Lineage: Eukaryota; Metazoa; Chordata; Aves; Galliformes; Phasianidae. The record is from RNAcentral.
GCCACAGGAGGGAGAAAAACAAACAGGAAAGAAUUAAAAGGGUUGGGAUAGGGCUGCAAAGCAACAGGCAUAAAUCACGCAGCUCUUCCCUCCCUGAGCUCCCUUGCAGCCAGCACAUGCACAACACCUCCCUUCUGGAUGAGGCUUUGGCAUGAGAGGCAGAUCCCAUGAAUGCUCCAUCGCGUUACCACAGCAGAGCAGCGCUUGGCAAGCUGAUGCAGGAUACUCCCUCAAGAAAACUUUGAAGGAACAGUGCUGCACGGCUGAACUAGGCAAUUACAAAUAUACCAGACACAGGGCUGAGACCCACCUCACUUCUGUUCUGCUGGAGUUCAUAGAAUCACCAAGGUUGGGAAAGGCCCACAGGAUCACCCAGUCCAACCAUCACCAACAGUUCUCAAGAGUUGCAGCACAGUGAAUCACUCCAACCUUCCCUCAAGGAGGGACAGCACAAUAGGAUCAGCCUCUUCUGCACUGCUCUGAAAUCACAAUUCAGAAAAUGGACAAAGUGGAUAAUAAAUUACUCUUCUUAUGCCAGGUAUUUUCCAUUUUGUGUUUUAACCGUUGUUGGUUCUUGGCACUGUUAAACUGUUAAUGGUAAAUUCAAAAGGAAUUGAGGACCUGGCUUCCUGGAUCGUAGUUUUUGGCUUUCCUGCACAAUAGGAUGAAGCCUGAAAGUCCCUUUUGUUACAUGCAGGUACCCAACUCUACUUCGUUACCAAUUAUCCUUCCUCAGUCUCUCCAUCCCUGUAUUACAUAAGGGUUCAGGUGAGACUCCUAAGAUAUCUGACUGCUUUAGCAUGUUUGGUUUUAUGUCUUUGUUACUUUAUAUCUCUCUUUGGCAGUUACAUCUACCUACAUAAUUGCUCUCAUUAAAAGGCUUAGUCAUGGUCUGAAGUAAGUGUAACCCACUGUUAUCUGUGCACUUAAGCAAAUUUCAGCACAGAAAAUUGGGGUAUCAUCUAAAUAUCAGACUACAGGAAGAUAAAACAAUCUAUACUGAAAAUCCAGAAUAAAAAGAAAUAACAGGCUUUGAAGCAGGCCUACCACCGAUUUCAGCUAUCCCCAAAACUGUACCAGGAAGGUUUUAAAUGGGUUUAAACCUCAGAUUUUUCACCUUUGGAAUUCCAGCCCUGUGACUGGUACGUGUGAGCUGAAAGGAGCACAGUCUGCACAGCGCAGUGCUGCAGGAGUGGCAGUUCUCUGAAACUGGAACCAGUCUUGGAAUUACAGUGGUGCUUCUUUUUCCAGGGAAAGGAAGGGAGUGGAAAUGGAAAAACAUCAGUGAGAAAAACCAAACAGGGCCCAAAAUUCAGAGCUGAGGAAGUCUGCAAUGGAGAAUCUAGUUGAGACAGCUGUGCUGAGGCUGACCUAACCUGGGGCUGACCAAGCAAGUUCCAUGAUGUCAUAUUUUGCUAUGAUGGGCCAUUAAAUUAAGUCGCUGGUCCAGACCUUCCUCCUGACACCUAUUAAAUCUACAGCUUUGGAGCUGGAGUUGUCAAGGUAGCACUGCAUCAGAUACCAGGGGAAUCCACGCACACUGUUACAGAAGAUUGCUGCUUGCAUAAAACCUCUUUGCUCUUUUCUUGAUUGUAUAUUCAGGAUAUAUUUUGCAGGCAUAGUCUACGAUUAGAUUAAACAAGCAAAGGAAUUAUUUAUUGCCUGUCCCACUGCACCUACUGCUUAACACCAGAUGAAACUAAAACAAUGGCUUCUGAGCUUGGGUCAAUAGUCUUCCUCUAUAGUCUACCCUCAAUUUCAAAAGCAUAGAGAAAAAAUGGUUAAUUCUACGGUGCCUGCGUUACAAAAAGGAGGAUUCAUUCAUAUUUACAGCAGCCACAAGAACUUCCAAAUAUAUAUUUUUCCAACCUGAAGGGUUUCAGUGACUUGUUCUACAUUUCCAUAGUAGACAAUAGAUCUCACAUAGCACUGUGAUCCAAUCUGCUUUUCUUUGCAGCAGGUAAUUGUAGGACGUUUUUAGGGAUACCUGUAACCUCACAACAUUGCCCUGCCUACUUCAAAAGAAGCUGUCAUCAAAAAGUAUUACCAGUCAAAAGAGUCAGUGAUACAAUUAUCUUUUUAAACAAACCCAGAAUAGUGGAUCAAACGCACACUACUUUUGAUUAUCCUCAGUCAAGUUUUCUUUAGGGGAUUCUCUGAGCAUCUCCUUCCCCUCAUUCGAAUUAUCAAACUCUCAUUUCUAGACCUCAGAGAACACCUACACGCUCCCUUCUGCUUCCUUCUUCCCACAACCUGAAGUUAAAUGUGGAGCACUUCCUCUGCCACCACUCUUGAAGCCUCAGUGGCCCACCCAACAAUGCCACUCUGUGGCUGGACAGGUAGAGAGAUGUUCUUGCAAUACUCAUUCCUCUUGACAAAUAUCAAUUAUUGUGACCAGGUCUUUUAACAAAAUAAAUACUGACUAGCAGCUAAGAGACUGGCUACUGGCUGCUUCUCACCUCCACCAGGAGCCCUGAAGUGCAGGACAGAAUCCAGGAAAGAUUUUCUGGAAAAUGAAGAGACCCAAUAAAGCCUCUAAGCCCAGGCAAGUCAAUAAACUGUCACAGUUGCCCGGAAGGAAUUGGCUCGUCUUAGAUAAACUCACAAAGGCCCUGAAAAAACACAACUUUUUUUUUUUAAAUGGCAGAGAUUAAUUUUCUGACUUCAAAGUAGUAUUAAUGCAGAACUUGGCUAAGGUUUCCUGUGCAAGCAGUUUCCCCCCGAGCAAUGAUUUCAGAAUCCGCCUUGUUUUAAGGCUGGCAUUUGCUGCAGCUGCAGACCUGGAGUAUUUUCGAUCCCCUCUGAGUGCUGGAACACUAUCCAACAAUUAAACCACAACCCAAAAACAAUCAAACAUCUGUUUGGAGGAAGGCUGCUCAGUGACUGACAUUCUCAUGCCAGCAUAAACACGAAAGCUGCUGAGUGAUUCCUGUCUUUUGUGUAUAUAUGUAUACGUAUGCACCGCUUGUGUAUUUUUUGUUCCUGCAUGCAGAAUAUGUAAAUAUGCUUAAGAGCAUUUUUAUUGCAAUAUGUGGGUGUACUUGUAUAGCUUAUUUGUGGAAGUAUUUUCAUUGGCGUGAACACACAGAUUUGAAUGUCAGCUUGAGAUGUGGUUAUUUGUGUGCUGGAGGUGGUUUUGCAGGAGGCCAAAGCGAACGUGGAUUGGGAGUCUGCAAGCAGAUUCAAUUGAAACCAGCUACUCAUCAUGAUUUAUGAGAGUCUUUGGGACAGGAGCUGAUCACAUGUAAGGAUUCAGGCUUUCAGCUCGGAAGCUCAAGAGCUCAAUGCCAUUGAUGACCCAGGGGAGGAGCUGUGAUACAGGAUCCCAUCACUGAUUUCCACGCUGCCAUCUCAUCAUCAAGUAGUCGAAACCCUUAACCCAUGUGAGCACUUCACCAUGCUAGAGAACUCAGCUCCUCACAGAACAGAAAACAAUGACCACUUGUUAAGCAUUUGUUUGAAAGAGGAAGAAAAAGAGUAUUACAAUGAGUGAUUUCAAUCUCUGUGCUGUCAGCUGAAGGUUCCAUGCUGCCAGAAACAAACAAAUGUAUUCCCUGUUUACAAAUGAUACCAAACAUUUUUAACCUCAAAGACUUUUGUAUCUUAUGUUGGGGAUUUUUUGGCGAGUGAAAAGAAAUAACUUUAGUAUUUAAAAAGUAGCGGUAUUUGAGAAUUUCAUUUGAUUACGUUUGUUUGAUAAUACACAACUGCUCUAAAACUGACAACUUCGCUAUGAUAAAAACAAAACAGCUUGGAGGAAAUAAAACGCCAAUAAUAUUUGCAAACUACAUAAAAGCACUUAGUGGGAAAAAUGCUAUUUCACUAACAGUAAGGAAUGACAGGUUAGUUAAAAAUAGAUAAAAGCUCAUAAAACAAAAGGGAACAAAAGUCAUAUAUAUCUAUUAAUUACUAGGUAGCUAGCCUGACUGUGCUGCUGCUAGCAAAAGUGCAGCUGCAUCAUUACUGGAAAAAUGGGACAGGCUAUGUACACAAAUAGGGCUGGAGUUCAAGCAUGCCUGCCCAAAUCCUCUCUGCUACUCCAUUUAGUGCAUUCUUUCUUAUCAUUCAAAGGGCUGCAUUGAAAUGUGCUGAGCUUCACUGUGCUCUGGAUCAGGGUUAAUGCACGUCUGAAUCCUCUGAGCUGGAGAGCUACUACUUAAAGCCAGUUUUGAGCAUUAGCAGAUUAUUUAAAAAUACCUUUGGAUGAAGAUGUAACAGCUCAGAUGGUGUGCAAUAAAAAACAAUGUACAUCUAGAAAGCUGCUGAGAGCUCAAUGGUUGAACUCAUAGAACGUUUCCUUCACUUGGACUCCAUCAGCAAGCAAGCUCCUACCAGUUCAUCUCUUGCCUUCAUUUACAAAUGCAGAGGAUUUAGCUCUCAGUCUCACUUUGGAGUCUCCAUUAGGACAUCUCCCCAAGUUAUGCUUAAAUCUGGUUCUCAUUUGUUCUUCUCCUGAAAUUAUUCAGGCUACUGUCACUACAUGAUUUGUCUUCAUGACUUCCAAAGGAUGAGUGCUGAGAUGGGAUUUGGACAGAAGGAUAAUACUGAGAGGUGAAACCAGGAAGACCUACACAUUUCUCAAAGGGCCACAAUCAGAAUUCCUUAUUUCCAGAAACUGGCUUUACAUUAUUUCUUAACAGGAGAUAAAGCAAAUUCUCUUAGAAGACCAAAACUCUUCUUUUCCCCCCUGCAAAACUGCAAUCUUCCAAAAAUGCAACAACUCUUGAAAUUCUUCAGCCCAAUUCACAGAGAAAACUCAGCCUGCCCAAGACCACAACUUUUUGCCUUGCUUGCACUUUGCUCCUCUGGGCUUGAUUGCUAUGCUAAUUAAACAAGACAUUGGUCAGGUUUUAACAUAGAUAUUCUUUUUUUAUUUUGGUUUCAGCUUCUUGAAAGGUGUCCAAGAAUACCAGGCAAGGAAAUGAAAUCUGCAUCCCAAGGAAACAAUCCCUUUCCAAAAUUGUUAAUCUUUCCUUAUGACAUGUUUUGGAAUACGAAUGUAUCCAGAGGGGGUUUAUUCAGCAAUAUGCUGUGCUCAUGUAAGUGAUCAAAUUGGGGGUUUAUUGCAGUGGUACAUAUGUUAACAAUAACUCAAACUUUUACUCACCCUGCUUCACCACCACAGCUGCUCUUGGUUUUUCUUACAGCCCCACCCAGUGACACUUGGAACACAAGCAGAAACACGUAUGUAUUACAAGGAGCGAUGUUCUACAUUGUUAUUAGAGAACCGGGCUUCCUUCAGCAUGCAACAUUAUCAUAACAAACCCAUGACUACACACUUUAACUGUCACUACAUUGCCUUCCAUAUAUGCUGGGAUCAGCAGAAUUAGAAGCCAGGUCUGGUUGCUACAUAUCACUUCUGAUAAAUUUCUGCAUUACAGCAACUGAAGGCGACUACAGAGCUUUGGCUGUGCCAGAUUCAAUCCAUUCAUAGGUCUGUUCCCCCAGCACGUUUCGUGAAGCUAUUUAGGGGUCAUAUGGAAAUGAAUGCAUGAAGAAGUGAAGAAAAAAGACAUAAUAUUAAACUCUGUAAGUGACUUUUAAGUGAAGACUUUUGCAAAAAGAAAAGACGUAGCAGGUAAGAAAUACAGAGGGGUAUUCUAUGCAUCAUACGGUAUGCAAUGAGCAAUGCUGAAUUUACCAAAAGCUACCAGCAGUUUUGGUUAUUCAGGUGAAGACAACUUAUGCCAAAAAUCUCAGGCAUCUUAAUGUCUCUUGAGACAAAGAUAAAAAAGCAUUCAUAAUCAGAAGUCAGCUCUUAAAACAUACAAUUGGUUCUUAUUUUGAGAAAAGUAGUAACAAGACUUUUUUUAUUUCUUUUUAAUCAAAACAUUGCUCAGAAGCCACAAGUCUCAGAUCAAGAACCAAAUGCGGAAUGCUAAGCGCUCACUAAGAGCUGGCUUGGGCAGCAUGAGUACUACACUAAUUUCUCUUUCAUUCCCUCAGCCCAAAAGCAAAACACAUUUUGCAGCAGCAUCUCAGCUGUUUGCUGAUGACUGAAUCCCAGGCAGGUCAAGAGAAACUUCUUGAACUUCCAAUUUCCAAGAAAGCCAACGAUCCAAGUGAAGUAAGAAGAAAGAAGACAUGCCGUGAAAGACAAAAAGCCUUCUUCAAACACAGCCCUUAAAUAACAGGAUGUGCAUGAAAUCCAAACUUCCUAAUGAAAUAAUUCCAAACCCUUUUGCAAGAAAGAACAGUAUUUUGAUGAAUGGUAUUUGUGACCUUAACGAUAAGCAUUAAUCUGUGCCACUUCAAAACCUCAGAAAAAAGUAGCUGGUAAGUGAGCACCUUGCUAACGAAAACCAGAGGAUGCAUCAUCCUAAUAAUCCAUGAGGAUAACCUGAGGGUAUUUUUUAACAUGACAGAGGCUGUCUCCUUGAGAAGAAAAGGUUAAAGACAACAGAGAGGCGACAGUGACAUCCCAACUACACACCUUAGUGAUAGCACAGCAUGCGCUUCCAUCAAACUACAUGUGGGUUUCUAAAAUACUCUUUCACAAAUCAAGUAAUUUAAGUCCAAAUGAAGUUAAAAACAAACUAAAAAUUUGCAAAUGCUCUGCGUUCACAAAAACAUACCUUGGAGGUUUCACAAAACAGAAUAUUCCCCAAACGGCGCAAUUAUUCUAAUGAAUAUGCCUAUAGAAUAAGUGGCUGCUCAGUAGGAGCAACUAGUGAAGCAUAUUAUGGUGAAAAAGGUAUUUUGCAGGUAUGGCUGUAACUUCAUGAUACCAGCUAGAAAAGAUUCUGCAGGUCUACAGAAGGGCUGUAACGGUGCUCUGCCAAGUUGCUGUCCAGGCAAAUUACACACGCACCGUGUGCUGGUUGCUGGAGAUGGUCUGCUCCGCAGGAGACAGGAUGCAUUGGCAGGCAGAAGCUGAGCAAAUUCCCGUUUGCACAAACCCACAUACAAUGGGAGAGAGAUUAACUGACAGCAACAGGGCUUUUCACAAGCAGACUUCCACCUAUAAAUUAGUACUACUGCAAAAUGAUAAGUGACAGAUGACAGGUUUUUAAAUGAAAUCCAAUGGAAGAAUCUACCUGUCUUGCCCAGAUUCCUACACAUGAAAUACCCUCCUUAGCUGAAUGUGUACCUUGGUACAAUCUCUGACUGGUGUUUUGCAGGAAGUCAGGAUACUUGGGAUCAUCUGAUCUAUAGCUACAUGAGUUUCACUGCCACAUGUACUACAGCAAAAGGCAAAGCAGCGAUCAACAUACAGUGGGCAGACAACGUGGGUAGCGUCAGCUAUGGGUGCUGUGACAGAGUACAGCAAAGUAGGAACCACCCCUUGCAGUGAAGGAAUUCUGAAUAUCAGUCUGAAGUUACAAACAGAUUUUGCUGACUAAGAUAUGAAACAAGCCCAUUUUAAGUAGUUCCAGACCGAUCUGCGUAAAGCAUGCAGUCUGUCUAAUAACAUCUGAUGGGCUGCAAAAGCAGCCAAUGGCUGCAAAGGCCCAGAGUUCCACUGCUGGAUGGAAUCUUUGCAAAUGAGGAGAGCAGUGCUUAUGGUAGAGAAUUCACUAGGAGUCCAAGGGCAGCUUGUAUUGCUAGCAGCAAGGAAUAGUAAAACGGGAGUUCUGUUUGUUUGCUAGAAAGAUCUUGUAGCAAAAAAUACAUUGAAAAUUGAGAAAUAGCUUGCAGUGAUGAACUGGUAAAUGCAACCUUUUUACAGGGGAAUGCCAAAGCAGAUUUUAAACAUUUGGCAGUUUCUCAGAAGCUAGGGGAAGAUUAACUAUGUGAGGGAAAAAUCAGGCCAAGAAACUGAGAACAGCUUUUCAAAAUUAAGGAAAGCCAAGGAGGAACCAAGUCUAAAAAGCAUUUGGAAAGAAAUGUUAAGAUCAUUUCACUUAUAAGAGAUUGAUCUCAGAAUCAGAAGAGUUCUGAACUUGUGGAAGUGGGAAGGAGUCAAAGUUCAGAGGGGGAGCAGCAGAGCCCCAACCUCACAAAGACUACCAAGCAAGGACACACAGCAACCACAGCAAGCAGCAGUGCUCCCAGGGGUGCCAUGGCUAAUGUUGUCUGCAGAGAUGGCUCAUAGGAACGUCACCAAAAUGAACACCCGGCUGACAUCCCCAGCCUCCUCAAGUUUGGUAAAGCUGUGCUCCAGUUUCCAGUGCUUGAAACAGCCUCUGAACACCAGCUCUGCAGGCCUGGACGCAGCACACUGCAUCUCUGCUGCUGCAUUCGUGUUUAUGAAAGCUACAGAAUAUUCCUUUUUAUGCACUCAAAUAACUUUUAAUAUCAAUAGCACCCUGCUGCUAAGAAAUACAACUUAACGGCUGGGUAUUAUUUGUUUUGGAGUAGAAUAUUAUGUUGGGCAGUUUCCCACUGGAAUAUACCUCAGUGUUUUCAAUGUGGCUGUGCAUACCUUGCUUUUUGUAGGCUGUUACAACUGUAAAUGUAUUUUAAAAGCACAUGUACACAUACGUGAAGGAGGAAAUGAGACCAAUAGCUUUUCAAGGUACUAGCAAUAGGAUUAGUUAGAACCAUGCGCUGACUUCAAAAAAUCUCACAUAAGAAAAUCCCACAUAAAACCAGUCUGUAUCUCAAAACUUCACUGCUACCCCAAGGGGGAAGAAAAGGCACUGCAGGACGAAGUGAGAGGCAGCAGCUGUCCUCAAAGGCAAAGGACCUCAGGGGACCCAAACUAUAACGCAAACAUCACCUCUUGCAACAGAGCAGAAGGGAAAAAACUCUCCUUACACUUCAUUUGUAUCACUGUGUAUGCAUUUUUGAUUGAUUCUUAUCAAGACUAUUAUAUUCUACUUCUAGAAUAUGGCAAGUAACAGUGCAGGUAUCUGACUCAAACUACAGAACCUGACAAACAGCACAGCUGCGCCGAAAAUUACUAAGGUGAAAAGGUGGGUGAGAAAAGAGAAAAACUUAAAUAUGGUUUUAGGAGAGAAAAGCUGUUGCUGAAGUCUUUCCUACUUGAGAUGACUCCAAUAAAGCUAUUCCUUCCUUAUCAGUGAAACACAGUCAUCUACCUUGCAGAUCCUUCUCUCAUUCUUACACGCCAAGCACAAAGAUGGAAAAAUUGCAACAAAAUUCUAACUAAGGCAGCAAAAACUCUGUAUGGAAAGAACACAGAACAGAGGAUAAAUAAAGGUUGCUGGUAAAACCUGGAACUUGCUGUGUUCAGCUAAUCCUUCUAAGGAGUUUUUUCUGUGGAGUUAGAGCAGUGAUUGCACCAAUUACAGGCACACUUCUUCAUGAAAUAAAAAAGAGGGAGAAGGGAAGCGAAGCCAAAGCCUCUGAUUUUCUUCUGGCUGAUCUCAAACUGUAGGAAUUCCCCAAUCAAAAGAAUGCUCUGCUCUACCUAAGGAAAUUAUGUUGAUUAGAAUAAAAGCUCCAGAUGUUAACCCAAAACAGUUUGAAGGGGAGGGGAGAAGGCACGCGAGGUGACCCCACCCAGGGCAGGAAGCACAGUGAGAGCCUCAUACCCAACGCCUUGGGACACAGCCAGGGCUCAGCAGCUCUCACGGCUGUCCUCCUUCUCCCCCAGGCAGAUAUAGGAGCUUUUCCAGUUUAACCCCAACACUUCUUUGCAUCCUUUGACAUGCAUUCUUCAGAAAACAUAUAUAAAUCAGAAUAAAAGUUACAUUGAG